UGAGGACCCGAAGCGCAAGCCUGGCGA
This 27-nucleotide non-coding RNA is filed under the name Mus musculus (house mouse). Lineage: Eukaryota; Metazoa; Chordata; Mammalia; Rodentia; Muridae. The record is from RNAcentral.